UGGGGAAUCUUGGACAAUGGGCGCAAGCCUGAUCCAGCCAUGCCGCGUGGAUGAUGAAGGCCUUAGGGUUGUAAAAUCCUUUCGUGGGGGACGAUAAUGACGGUACCCCAAGAAGAAGCUCCGGCUAACUUCGUGCCAGCAGCCGCGGUAAUACGAAGGGGGCUAGCGUUGUUCGGAUUUACUGGGCGUAAAGCGCGUGUAGGCGGGUCGUUAAGUUGGGGGUGAAAUCCCGAGGCUCAACCUCGGAACUGCCUUCAAAACUGGCGACCUGGACUCAAGCAGAGGCAAGUGGAAUUGCGAGUGUAGAGGUGAAAUUCGUAGAUAUUCGCAGGAACACCAGUGGCGAAGGCGACUUGCUGGGCUUGUAGUGACGCUGAGACGCGAAAGCGUGGGGAGCAAACAGGAUUAGAUACCCUUGUAGUCCCUGAGCGGGCUGGCAAGGCGCAU
Molecule: ribosomal RNA, 447 nt
Filed under: uncultured bacterium
Lineage: Bacteria
Description: bacterial SSU rRNA
Rfam family: Bacterial small subunit ribosomal RNA
Source: RNAcentral